Cicer arietinum (chickpea) is the source of this 2256-nucleotide non-coding RNA. Lineage: Eukaryota; Viridiplantae; Streptophyta; Magnoliopsida; Fabales; Fabaceae. The record is from RefSeq and is a predicted model, not a curated record.
AAAUACACACAAUGACCAUGAUAAUCGUUAGGCAAAUAUAAAAAAAAUAACAAAAAAAGGAAAAAAUUCUGCAACAACCGCAAAAUCAAAAAACAAGGAGAGAGUGAAAAAAAUAUAAUCACAGAUACGAAAAGAUCGUCUUCUCAAUCGGAAUAAGAAAUAUAUAACUGAUCAUGAGAUUCAAGAAAGGGACUAAGGUUGAAGUGCUAAGCAAAGCUGAGGUGCCUUCUGGCUCCUGGCUAUAUGCAGAGAUCAUCAGUCGUAAUGGACGCCAUUACAAUGUUAGAUAUGAUGGAUAUCAAAGUGCUACUGGUGAGGAAAUCGUGGAGCGAGUAUCCAGGAAAUCCAUAAGGCCGUGUCCGCCUCCACUUGAACUCGUGGUGAAUUGGAUUCCAGGUGAUAUUGUAGAAGUCUACCAGAAUUUCUCUUGGAAGAUGGCCUCAGUUUUGAAGGUUUUGGGGGAAAAGUACCUUUCUGUUAGGCUACUUGGAUCUUCUUUGGAAUUUCAAGUGAGCAAAUUUGACAUCCGGCUGAGACAGUCGUGGCAAGAUGACAAGUGGUUUGUGGUUGGAAAGGUUUCUGCUAGCUGUGAGAAUGGACAACGUUUUGGUGCUCCACUUCAGAAGAUAGCUACAAAGACAAAAAUGUCAGUUUCCAAUUACUAUUCCAAUUAUUAUCAACCUGAACAUAAAGAACUGGAUAUUCUGGAAUCCCGUCUUGUUUCUUUUAAAACAUUGAAACGAGGACGCCAUUCACAAGUUGAGGCAUAUGCUGAACCUCCGCCAAAGGUAAGAACAAUUGAGAAUGAAGGCAGAUGUUACAGAGCAAGAGUUAGAAACUCACCCACGCCACUUAAACAUUUACAUAAUGUGAGUUUUCCAAGAGAUGUGCUAGCUGAAGAAUGUAUGCUUGCUUCUGUAUACAACAGAAAAACUUGGAUUUCUGAUAUAGACAUAGAGAGGAGGAAACAAACUGCUGCUGUGGGUUGUUCAUGUGGAGACAACUAUCAAUCAAAAUUUGCUGAUAGCGUUACAUGCUCUGUUGGUAGUUGUAGUAUCAACAGCAUGAACUCCUAUAAAUUGCAAUUUCCAGUAUCUGCAGAUCCAUUUGAAGUAGAGAGUCCAUAUAGUGAUGCUGAAUCUGCCUGCUAUAGGGGAUAUGCGGAAGGGACUUGUUUCUCUCCUACACAAGAAAAAUUGGCUGCAGAAAUUCAUAGGGCUGAAUUUGAGGCACAUAGAUGUUGCUUCCAGAUAGAUGUCUACAGAUGAUAUUGGUGCUUUCCACCUUUCUCUUGAUCUAGACAAGGGAUGAUAUUUCUAUUAUGGCUCUUGAUAUGCCAACACUUUCAUAGGAUUGUGGAGUUCUUACAUUCUUUCAUUUCAGGCCUCAUGUGAGCCUCAGGUUUCUGUUUUCUGGAAGGAUGCAUGCUCAGAGUCUUGUGGCUACCAUGGGGUGACCUUUUAUCUUACACAUGAAAGUUGUCAUUGGUCUGCUGCUGCCUGAUAGUGCAUUACUGCUCAGCAAUGAUCAAGUAGCAUAAGGUCCAAAUGGGUCUUGGAAGAACAUGGCCACAUUAAAGCCAGAAUGACACAAGGUAAGGUUAUGUAGGCAUACCCUAAGUAGUGAUUAUUUAGAGAGAGCAUGUGCUUUUAAAGAAUAUAUUCCUCAGUUGACCAAUUCUGAGAAACAUGCAUAUUUGACUACAUAGACUUUAUACUCUUUAUUGGCAUAUCAACUUUUGAUGCUAGUUUUUCAUAAUGCAAAAUUUGCACAAAUGCGAUGAUACAAUACUUAAAAUUUAAAAUAUGUUUCCCGAUGUUCUUGUGGUUGACAAUUAUAUUCGACGCUGAUGUUGAGGCUAACUGCCAGUUUUUAUAAACUCUGAAUAUGUUAUAACUUGUUCUUGCAUGGAUGUAUACAUACCACAUAUAAAACAUCAAAAACUGCAUGCAAAUGUCCAGCACUUUGGAGGACACUAUGCUAUUUGGCUCCAUCCACUGUAAUUGUCUCCAAACAAAAAACCAUGUUCCAUUGCAUGAGAAAUCUGAUACCAUCUGGAAGAGAAGAAAUCCAGUCAUGACCGGCCAAGCCAAGUGUAUCAAGCCCAUGAAAUCUUUUUGUAGCCCAGAUGGACUUUCGGGCCCAAAGCCUUCUAUCUGACAUUACUUGAAUUUCGCUAUUAUAUUAUUCUGUUUCAAACAAAACGAAAUUUUCGACUGAAUUAUUGAUACAAUAGCUUCAUAUUUGGAAGUUUUA